AGCGGCCGCGAAAUUCGCCCUUAGAGUUUGAUCAUGGCUCAGAUUGAACGCUGGCGGCAGGCCUAACACAUGCAAGUCGAACGGUAACAGGAUGUGCUUGCACAUCGCUGACGAGUGGCGGACGGGUGAGUAAUGCUUGGGAACAUGCCUUUGUGAGGGGGAUAACAGUUGGAAACGACUGCUAAUACCGCAUAACGUCUACGGACCAAAGGGGGCUUCGGCUCUCGCGCAAAGAGUGGCCCAAGUGAGAUUAGCUAGUUGGUGGGGUAAAGGCUCACCAAGGCGACGAUCUCUAGCUGUUCUGAGAGGAAGAUCAGCCACACUGGGACUGAGACACGGCCCAGACUCCUACGGGAGGCAGCAGUGGGGAAUAUUGCACAAUGGGGGGAACCCUGAUGCAGCCAUGCCGCGUGUGUGAAGAAGGCCUUCGGGUUGUAAAGCACUUUCAGACGUGAGGAAAGGAUGAUGGUUAAUACCCAUCAUCUGUGACGUUAGCGUCAGAAGAAGCACCGGCUAACUCCGUGCCAGCAGCCGCGGUAAUACGGAGGGUGCGAGCGUUAAUCGGAAUUACUGGGCGUAAAGCGCACGCAGGCGGUUAUUUAAGCUAGAAGUGAAAG
Molecule: ribosomal RNA, 617 nt
Filed under: uncultured Gammaproteobacteria bacterium
Lineage: Bacteria; Pseudomonadati; Pseudomonadota; Gammaproteobacteria
Description: partial 16S ribosomal RNA
Rfam family: Bacterial small subunit ribosomal RNA
Source: RNAcentral